RNAcentral lists this ribosomal RNA (253 nucleotides) under uncultured bacterium. RNAcentral describes it as "partial 16S ribosomal RNA". It matches the Rfam family "Bacterial small subunit ribosomal RNA", at positions 524 to 776 of the family's 1533-position model. The record is from RNAcentral.
UACGAAGGGAGCUAGCGUUGUUCGGAAUCACUGGGCGUAAAGCGCACGUAGGCGGCGCGGUAAGUCGGGUGUGAAAUCUUGGAGCUUAACUCCGAAACUGCAUUCGAUACUGCCGUGCUUGAGGACUGGAGAGGAGACUGGAAUUUACGGUGUAGCGGUGAAAUGCGUAGAUAUCGUAAGGAAGACCAGUGGCGAAGGCGGGUCUCUGGACAGUUCCUGACGCUGAGGCACGAAGGCCAGGGGAGCAAACGGG